ACAUGUGGAUAAGAGUUGUUUCCAGAUAGAAGAAUGAAGAGGGGAAUACAGCUGAGGCUGUGACACAAUCUUGAUGUGAAAUGACUCCAAAAGGAGGUAUUGCUUAAAGCUUGAGUCUUAGAAGGUGCUGAGGGCUACCCAGGCAGAUGGGUGAGGAAUAGGGUUCUGGACAUAGGGGACAGUCCAAAUGAGCCCGGCUGUUUAGAGACCCUGAUAGGGCUUGGAGAGAAAGUAGACUUUGGAUAGGUGGCUGAUAGGCAGGCAGAGGCUGGACCCUGAGAUUGGUGUGCCACAUAAGGAGUUCACACUUCAGUCUAAAACCACGCCCUCUCUCCAUCCAUCAGCAUUGACGUGGACCUGUGAUGGAUUCAGAGACUGUUAACUUGGCCACACUCAACUGCAUUUCCUGGAACUAUCUUUCCUGCAUGUUUGCAGUUAAGAUGGACCACAAGGAAUAUUCUUGGAAGAUUCUUGCAAGAUACAGAAGGCAAGAGAGGCUGCAGCUGUGUUUUGCAGUUGGCACACAUUGCUGCUGAUCUGCUGACUCACCUCACUGGAGUGAAACAGCUGCCACAACACCCGCAACCUUCUCCCGUAUCUUCUUGCUGCUUUUUGACUUCCGGCCGUGUGUAUGUGUUCAGCUCUGUGAUGAAGGGCUAGGCUUCUGCAGGACAGCCUCAUCACUGUGGUUAGAGGCAAUAAGAACAGCCAUGGGCUUCAGGCUGCAAUCCUGGGACUCUGGCUUGUGCUCGUGGGUUCCCGCCCUCCCUACUUAACAUCUGUCUUUCCUCUCGACUGCCUAUCCUGUGGACCUAACACCAGCAUCAGACUUGAGACGCAGCCUUGCAAAGACUGUUUACCUGGUUCCCACAAAUGCACAAAGAAGCCAUUUCAGAGAGCUCGGGUGACCUGAGGUCAUGGAGAGGCAGAGUCAAGAUGGAACUCAGGAACCAGAGGGAGCUUUUAUAAAGAAGGUGGAGGCUGGCGUGGAUGAAGUUACAUCAGAUGGUCUGACUGGACGUGACUACAGCAAAGUUUCCAACUCUGUAUCUUCCUAAAUCUACCCAGCUCUCCGACCUCAACCUUCUGUACUGUCUCACCUUAUUCCUUGGCCAGUGAGAGCAGUAGCUGGGACAUGAGUGAGUUCCAGGCACGGUGGGCAUGGUUUGUUCUGAGCUCCCCCAGCCCAGCCCACCCCUCUUUGGAGAGCUCCUUCUCUUCUGGCGUUUCUCUGACUCCUUUGGGGCGGAGAUUGACAAGGAUCUCCACCUACAAAUCCUCUAUUCUGUGAAAGUCACACACCGCUUUGGAGACCAAAACAACCAACUUCACCUAGAUUUGCAGGGUCCUUGAUGUCGACCAAGGGCCUUUGAGGAAAGACUUCUCAGUGAGGGGAUACGUGUCUCCCUUCAGUAGAAACAGCUAGAGUUUCCAACUGGAUUCCAGACGGCUUUGGGGAAAUUCACGGCUACCAUUUUCAAGUGGCUUCAGCAGCACCCGGCAUGGAGGGUGCUCAGUAGCUAUUCUUGUAAACCAGAUAAUAAUACGAAUAACAAGGUAAACACUAGUGGUUCUUUCUUGGGCCCUUGUGAGGUGCCAGUGUCUGUGCUAAGCAUUUUGCAUGCUAAACACUUUACCUGUAAUGGCAGGACACAGUCCUACCCUCUGAUGGUGAUGACCAGAUGUGUUUGGACCAUGGGCACAGGAGACAGACACGGGUGGACAUUUGCACAGCCCUCUGGAAGCUCACAUCGAGUUAGAAAGACAAGAUGUCGAAAACUGCACUGCUGAUAAGGGUUAAACAGCCGUUUGAUACAACAAUAGAAGAGAUAUUCAAGGCAGGGCAUGAUUAAUUGCCUGGCAAAUCGUAGGGAUGAUAAAUGUUUUAGGAACUCAGAGAAGGAAGCCAUUUCUCCAAGCAGGGCAGAACAGACAGACACCGGGGGAUAACUGUGCCUUUUCAAAGGGGGGCCAUGAGGCUGCUCUCUGAGGAGGUCAUUGUCACACAGUGGGGGUUGGAAGGGUGCCCUUUGACCUUUUUUACUUUUCAAGGACUAGGUCAGUAUUCGGUCGCCCACUUGCCACAAUCUAGCUACGCUGGAGUCUUUAGGAAAUCAGCUAGUUCAGGGAAUUGGAGAAAAAGCGAGAGCAUGCUUUUUAUUCCCUUUCCCACCAUUUCAACCUCUCCAGGACAAGCCGUCCAUCUGUAGUCUCCCCUCUAGAAAGUGGUACUGGAAUUUGGUGUUCACAUUAUGUGAGAAAAGGUUGAAGGUGCUGGCUUGGAGCCCCCAAAGCAUGUAGGGCAUCUCCCCCUUGGCAAGUGGGUCCCACAUAAUUUUACAAAAACAUAUCAUUUUCAUGGUAGUGGUAAGACUGAUAAGUGUUCGGAUUUUGCCCAAAAUUUCAAGAGGCUAGAGCUGAGAAGUUCCUUUGAAGCUCUCAGAGCCCUGAAUUGUGUUCCGUUUGGGUAUCUAUUAAGAAAACAGCCAUUUCAUCACGGCUCGUAACAUAAAUUGGUUCAUGGAUGCCCAAGGCUUUAUCUCAUUAAAUCCU
Long non-coding RNA from Chlorocebus sabaeus (green monkey), 2553 nucleotides. RefSeq lists it as uncharacterized. The record is from RefSeq and is a predicted model, not a curated record. Lineage: Eukaryota; Metazoa; Chordata; Mammalia; Primates; Cercopithecidae.